This 500-nucleotide ribosomal RNA is filed under the name uncultured dinoflagellate. Its description in RNAcentral is "SSU rRNA". It matches the Rfam family "Eukaryotic small subunit ribosomal RNA", at positions 609 to 1114 of the family's 1831-position model. Lineage: Eukaryota; Dinophyceae. The record is from RNAcentral.
GUUGUUGCGGUUAAAAGCUCGUAGUUGGAUUUCUGCUGAGGACGACCGGUCCGCCCACUGGGUGAGUAUCUGGCUCGGCCUUGGCAUCUUCUUGGAGAACGUAUCUGCACUUGACUGUGUGGUGCGGUAACCAGGACCUUUACUUUGAGGAAAUUAGAGUGUUUCAAGCAGGCGUGCGCCUUGAAUACAUUAGCAUGGAAUAAUAAGAUAGGACCUUAGUUCUAUUUUGUUGGUUUCUAGAGCUGGGGUAAAGAUUAAUAGGGAUAGUUGGGGGCAUUCGUAUUUAACUGUCAGAGGUGAAAUUCUUGUAUUUGUUAAAGACGGACUACUGCGAAAGCAUUUGCCAAGGAUGUUUUCAUUGAUCAAGAACGAAAGUUAGGGGAUCGAAGACGAUCAGAUACCGUCCUAGUCUUAACCAUAAACCAUGCCGACUAGAGAUUGGAGGCCGUUACCUGUACGACUCCUUCAGCACCUUAUGAGAAAUCAAAGUCUUUGGGUUC